CACCGUUGGAGCUCCCCUGUUGGAGCAAUCUCCAAGGCCCCCACGUUGCUCCCCCUAUUUCGUGAGGAGGCUGAUCGGUGUUUGGCCAGUAAGGACCUAGGCCAUCAGGUCCUAGGGCCCCUGACCCUCUGGGUCUGAUCCUUUACUGGCGCCCCACUCGUAGGAGCUCCCUUGCAAGAGGAGACUUCUUCAAGCCUCCCAAGUUACCGCCAUUCCUUGAGGAGGCUCACUGGUGUGCCCAGCCAGUAGGGACCUAGGGCAUCAGGUCUCAGGACCACUGACCCUCUGGGUCAAGUCCACUUCACCCCUCCCCACACCGUUGGAGCUCCCCUGUUGGAGCAAUCUCCAAGGCCCCCACGUUGCUCCCCCUAUUUCGUGAGGAGGCUGAUCGGUGUUUGGCCAGUAAGGACCUAGGCCAUCAGGUCCUAGGGCCCCUGACCCUCUGGGUCUGAUCCUUUACUGGCGCCCCACUCGUAGGAGCUCCCUUGCAAGAGGAGACUUCUUCAAGCCUCCCAAGUUACCGCCAUUCCUUGAGGAGGCUCACUGGUGUGCCCAGCCAGUAGGGACCUAGGGCAUCAGGUCUCAGGACCACUGACCCUCUGGGUCAAGUCCACUUCACCCCUCCCCACACCGUUGGAGCUCCCCUGUUGGAGCAAUCUCCAAGGCCCCCACGUUGCUCCCCCUAUUUCGUGAGGAGGCUGAUCGGUGUUUGGCCAGUAAGGACCUAGGCCAUCAGGUCCUAGGGCCCCUGACCCUCUGGGUCUGAUCCUUUACUGGCGCCCCACUCGUAGGAGCUCCCUUGCAAGAGGAGACUUCUUCAAGCCUCCCAAGUUACCGCCAUUCCUUGAGGAGGCUCACUGGUGUGCCCAGCCAGUAGGGACCUAGGGCAUCAGGUCUCAGGACCACUGACCCUCUGGGUCAAGUCCACUUCACCCCUCCCCACACCGUUGGAGCUCCCCUGUUGGAGCAAUCUCCAAGGCCCCCACGUUGCUCCCCCUAUUUCGUGAGGAGGCUGAUCGGUGUUUGGCCAGUAAGGACCUAGGCCAUCAGGUCCUAGGGCCCCUGACCCUCUGGGUCUGAUCCUUUACUGGCGCCCCACUCGUAGGAGCUCCCUUGCAAGAGGAGACUUCUUCAAGCCUCCCAAGUUACCGCCAUUCCUUGAGGAGGCUCACUGGUGUGCCCAGCCAGUAGGGACCUAGGGCAUCAGGUCUCAGGACCACUGACCCUCUGGGUCAAGUCCACUUCACCCCUCCCCACACCGUUGGAGCUCCCCUGUUGGAGCAAUCUCCAAGGCCCCCACGUUGCUCCCCCUAUUUCGUGAGGAGGCUGAUCGGUGUUUGGCCAGUAAGGACCUAGGCCAUCAGGUCCUAGGGCCCCUGACCCUCUGGGUCUGAUCCUUUACUGGCGCCCCACUCGUAGGAGCUCCCUUGCAAGAGGAGACUUCUUCAAGCCUCCCAAGUUACCGCCAUUCCUUGAGGAGGCUCACUGGUGUGCCCAGCCAGUAGGGACCUAGGGCAUCAGGUCUCAGGACCACUGACCCUCUGGGUCAAGUCCACUUCACCCCUCCCCACACCGUUGGAGCUCCCCUGUUGGAGCAAUCUCCAAGGCCCCCACGUUGCUCCCCCUAUUUCGUGAGGAGGCUGAUCGGUGUUUGGCCAGUAAGGACCUAGGCCAUCAGGUCCUAGGGCCCCUGACCCUCUGGGUCUGAUCCUUUACUGGCGCCCCACUCGUAGGAGCUCCCUUGCAAGAGGAGACUUCUUCAAGCCUCCCAAGUUACCGCCAUUCCUUGAGGAGGCUCACUGGUGUGCCCAGCCAGUAGGGACCUAGGGCAUCAGGUCUCAGGACCACUGACCCUCUGGGUCAAGUCCACUUCACCCCUCCCCACACCGUUGGAGCUCCCCUGUUGGAGCAAUCUCCAAGGCCCCCACGUUGCUCCCCCUAUUUCGUGAGGAGGCUGAUCGGUGUUUGGCCAGUAAGGACCUAGGCCAUCAGGUCCUAGGGCCCCUGACCCUCUGGGUCUGAUCCUUUACUGGCGCCCCACUCGUAGGAGCUCCCUUGCAAGAGGAGACUUCUUCAAGCCUCCCAAGUUACCGCCAUUCCUUGAGGAGGCUCACUGGUGUGCCCAGCCAGUAGGGACCUAGGGCAUCAGGUCUCAGGACCACUGACCCUCUGGGUCAAGUCCACUUCACCCCUCCCCACACCGUUGGAGCUCCCCUGUUGGAGCAAUCUCCAAGGCCCCCACGUUGCUCCCCCUAUUUCGUGAGGAGGCUGAUCGGUGUUUGGCCAGUAAGGACCUAGGCCAUCAGGUCCUAGGGCCCCUGACCCUCUGGGUCUGAUCCUUUACUGGCGCCCCACUCGUAGGAGCUCCCUUGCAAGAGGAGACUUCUUCAAGCCUCCCAAGUUACCGCCAUUCC
This is a long non-coding RNA of Mesocricetus auratus (golden hamster), 2414 nucleotides long. RefSeq lists it as uncharacterized. NCBI's taxonomy places the organism in Eukaryota, Metazoa, Chordata, Mammalia, Rodentia, Cricetidae. The record is from RefSeq and is a predicted model, not a curated record. The transcript has 16 exons.